Molecule: small nuclear RNA, 18 nt
Filed under: Arabidopsis thaliana (thale cress)
Lineage: Eukaryota; Viridiplantae; Streptophyta; Magnoliopsida; Brassicales; Brassicaceae
Description: snRNA_03327
Source: RNAcentral
CAGCAGCGCAAGCAAGCU